UGCCGGCGUCGGAAGGCUGGAAUUGCUAGCGGUACAUCGGUCGUUGAGCGUGAAUCGCUUCAGACAAACUCUGGGUGGCAGCCAGUAGCGUUAGCAUUCAUCGCCAGCUGUGCAAGAGUAUGCCGAAAGCCUGUCCCCCCUCCUACCUCGGCUCACCUCUUGUGAUGACCGGUCAUUGACUUUUUAAGGUAGGCCUAUGUAUAUAUGU
Long non-coding RNA from Alosa sapidissima (American shad), 208 nucleotides. RefSeq lists it as uncharacterized. The record is from RefSeq and is a predicted model, not a curated record. NCBI's taxonomy places the organism in Eukaryota, Metazoa, Chordata, Actinopteri, Clupeiformes, Clupeidae. The transcript has 3 exons.